This 433-nucleotide unclassified non-coding RNA is filed under the name soil metagenome. RNAcentral describes it as "partial contains 5.8S ribosomal RNA, internal transcribed spacer 2, and large subunit ribosomal RNA". The stretch from base 1 to 120 matches the Rfam family "5.8S ribosomal RNA", at positions 35 to 154 of the family's 154-position model. The record is from RNAcentral.
GAUGAAGAACGCAGCGAAAUGCGAUACGUAAUGUGAAUUGCAGAAUCCAGUGAAUCAUCGAAUCUUUGAACGCAUAUUGCGCUCUCUGGUAUUCCGGAGAGCAUGCUUGUUUGAGUAUCAGUAAACACCUCAACUUCCAUAUCUUUUUUGAAAUGGGAGUUGGACUUGAGUGAUCCCAACGCUUUUCCUCACCGAAAAGUGGCGGGUUACUUGAAAUGCAGGUGCAGCUGGACUUUUCUCUGAGCUAUAAGCAUAUCUAUUUAGUCUGCCUAAAAAACAGAUUAUUACCUUUGCUGCAGCUAACAUAAAGGAGAUUAGUUCUUGUGCUGACUGAUGCAGGAUUCACAAAGACAGGCUUCGGCCGACUUUGUAAACUCGAUCUCAAAUCAAGUAAGACUACCCGCUGAACUUAAGCAUAUCAAUAAGCGGAGGA